UACGUAGGGGGCAAGCGUUGUCCGGAUUUAUUGGGCGUAAAGAGCGUGUAGGCGGCUUGGAAGGUCAGCUGUGAAAACUCGAGGCUCAACCUCGAGACGUCGGUUGAAACCACCUGGCUAGAGUCCGGAAGAGGAGAGUGGAAUUCCCGGUGUAGCGGUGAAAUGCGCAGAUAUCGGGAAGAACACCCGUGGCGAAGGCGACUUCCUGGCCUGUUCUUGACGCUGAGGCGCGAAAGCUAGGGGAGCAAACGGG
This 253-nucleotide ribosomal RNA is filed under the name uncultured bacterium. Its description in RNAcentral is "partial 16S ribosomal RNA". It matches the Rfam family "Bacterial small subunit ribosomal RNA", at positions 524 to 776 of the family's 1533-position model. The record is from RNAcentral.